This 238-nucleotide long non-coding RNA is filed under the name Marmota monax (woodchuck). Lineage: Eukaryota; Metazoa; Chordata; Mammalia; Rodentia; Sciuridae. The record is from RNAcentral.
UGGGCCUGCUGUUUGGCUGGGCUGACUCUGACAUCAUAGCCUGUCUUCUGAAAGCAGUCCGGGACCUUUUAUAAAGUCAAACAGAUAAAGCAAAUUCUAGAGAUGUGCUAGGGACCGGAAAAAAAAAAAAGUACGUUGUUUUCUUUCAGUUGUGGUCACCAGCGGAUAAACUGUGUCUCUAGAUCCCUUGCUUCAUAUUUCCCAAAAGUAAGUUCGUCUUGUUUUUGAUUUUUUUGUU